AAGUCGUAACAAGGUAACCGUAGGUGAACCUGCGGUUGGAUCAUUAAUAAAUUUUCUUUUUCCUCCCUUAAAUCUUUUAAGGUCGAGGAAAAUCAACCCAACCUGUGAACUGUUUAAUUGUAUUUUUGGGUGAGGGGGUUUUUAACCGUUAAAAAUCUCUUUUGAUUUCCCUUACCCAUAUUUUAUUUAAGCUCUAGUAGAAAAACUUGUCUUUAAAAAACCUUAACAUUUAUGUUAAAUUUCUUAAUUGAAAACAACUUUUGUCAACGGAUCUCUAGGCUCUC
This 284-nucleotide unclassified non-coding RNA is filed under the name fungal sp. RNAcentral describes it as "partial internal transcribed spacer region". The stretch from base 1 to 46 matches the Rfam family "Eukaryotic small subunit ribosomal RNA", at positions 1786 to 1831 of the family's 1831-position model. The record is from RNAcentral. Lineage: Eukaryota; Fungi.